Molecule: ribosomal RNA, 305 nt
Filed under: uncultured bacterium
Lineage: Bacteria
Description: partial 16S ribosomal RNA
Rfam family: Bacterial small subunit ribosomal RNA
Source: RNAcentral
ACAGCAGUAGCCGCGGUAAUACAGAGGGUGCAAGCGUUAAUCGGAAUUACUGGGCGUAAAGCGCGCGUAGGUGGUUUGUUAAGUUGGAUGUGAAAGCCCCGGGCUCAACCUGGGAACUGCAUCCAAAACUGGCAAGCUAGAGUACGGUAGAGGGUGGUGGAAUUUCCUGUGUAGCGGUGAAAUGCGUAGAUAUAGGAAGGAACACCAGUGGCGAAGGCGACCACCUGGACUGAUACUGACACUGAGGUGCGAAAGCGUGGUGAGCAAACAGGAUUAGAUACCCCCGUAGUCCCUGUCUCUUAUAC